CUAGCUGCCCUUGCUUUGUCAUUUUAAACAAGCUCAAUAUGAAAUGACUUCAGGGGCAGCUGGG
MicroRNA precursor from Monodelphis domestica (gray short-tailed opossum), 64 nucleotides. The record is from Ensembl. NCBI's taxonomy places the organism in Eukaryota, Metazoa, Chordata, Mammalia, Didelphimorphia, Didelphidae.